This 252-nucleotide ribosomal RNA is filed under the name uncultured bacterium. RNAcentral describes it as "partial 16S ribosomal RNA". It matches the Rfam family "Bacterial small subunit ribosomal RNA", at positions 524 to 776 of the family's 1533-position model. The record is from RNAcentral.
UACAGAGGUCUCAACCGUUGUUCGGAUUCAUUGGGCGUAAAGGGUGCGUAGGCGGCGGGUAAGUCAGGUGUGAAAUCUCGGGGCUCAACCCCGAAACUGCACUUGAUACUGCCUCGCUUGAGUACUGGAGAGGAGACUGGAAUUUACGGUGUAGCAGUGAAAUGCGUAGAUAUCGUAAGGAAGACCAGUGGCGAAGGCGAGUCUCUGGACAGUUACUGACGCUGAGGAGCGAAAGCGUGGGGAGCGAACAGG